RNAcentral lists this ribosomal RNA (442 nucleotides) under uncultured bacterium. RNAcentral's name for it is "partial 16S ribosomal RNA". It matches the Rfam family "Bacterial small subunit ribosomal RNA", at positions 338 to 795 of the family's 1533-position model. The record is from RNAcentral.
CCUACGGGUGGCAGCAGUGGGGAAUAUUCCGCAAUGGACGCAAGUCUGACGCAGCAACGCCGCGUGAAUGAAGAAGGCUUUCGGGUUGUAAACUUCUGUUAAGGGGGAAGAGCAGAAGACGGUACCACUUGAAUAAGCCACGGCUAACUACGUGACAGCAGCCGCGGUAAUACGUAGGUGGCAAGCGUUGUCCGGAUUUACUGGGUGUAAAGGGCGUGCAGCCGGGAGGACAAGUCAGAUGUGAAAUCCCGCGGCUCAACCGCGGAACUGCAUUUGAAACUGUUUUUCUUGAGUAUCGGAGAGGUAAGCGGAAUUCCUAGUGUAGCGGUGAAAUGCGUAGAUAUAAGGAGGAACACCAGUGGCGAAGGCGGAUUACUGGACGGCAACUGACGGUGAGGCGCGAAAGCGUGGGGAGCAAACAGGAUUAGAUACCCCGGUAGUC